Small nucleolar RNA from Scomber japonicus (chub mackerel), 136 nucleotides. RefSeq annotates it as small nucleolar RNA SNORA69. NCBI's taxonomy places the organism in Eukaryota, Metazoa, Chordata, Actinopteri, Scombriformes, Scombridae. The transcript has a single exon. The record is from RefSeq and is a predicted model, not a curated record.
AAAGCAGGUCUGCAAUUGCAGUACUUCAUUGCAGUGGAGUGCUGUCAUUAACCCUGCUGAGAGCAUCUUUCUGCUGCAGAGUCUGUCCUCCUGCUUGCCAUGUUGGUGAGGAGGAACGUCUGUUGCUGGAACAUUU